AUGGACCUUAAUAUGACAAAUCUUUGGCUUCAUGGGAAGGAACAUAUAGCCGCUUCAUUCUCUCAAGCUGAACAGAGCUCAGAAGCAGUCGAGACUUCUAGAAAAUCAUUUGGGCAGAGGAGUCGAAGUUCCCCUGUUCCUGAUGAUGACUGCAGGCUGGUCCUAGGACUUGGACCAAUGCCAAAUCUGUAUUCCGCUGAUAGCCAAUCAUCCGGUGGCAACAAAGUUAAAUUAUCUGGAAUUUUGUUCACCCAACAUUGUACUGCAAGUGAUCCUGGGUUACUGGUGGGGACUUCAAGAGGCAGCUCAAGAAAUUUGCAGUCCACAACACUGCCUGGCCGCAAGGAGCAUUCACACAAAAGAAAAAAUGGUGUUGUCUUCCCACAUAUUGGCGAGGGAUCAACUUCAGCCAAAAGGAAGUCAGGUGAUUAUCAGCUAUCACCUCUGUUUGCUCCAAGAUCAGAUGUUCUUUUUAUUGAUAGAACAAUGGCAGAGCCUGAUGUCCAGCAACACCUUGGAACCGGAUAUGAGGCCGAUCAUGAUUUAUCUCUUGAUCAGCACGGGGUUGAGCACAGCCCCGAGCCUUCUGCAACAACUGGCUGUUCUUUUGCUGCAACUUCAGAUACAAUAGAUAGCACUGAUAAUGGGGAGCAGAAAAGUCAUCAGCGCCAUCUCAAGAAGUGUCGGUUCAAUGGGUGUUCCAAGGGCGGAAGGGGUGCAUCAGGACUCUGCAUUUCCCAUGGCGGCGGUCACCGGUGCCAAAAGCCAGGUUGCAAUAAAGGGGCCGAGAGCCGAACGGCGUACUGCAAAUCGCACGGAGGAGGAAAGCGGUGCCAAGAGCUAGGCUGCACCAAAAGCGCCGAAGGGAAGACAGAGUUCUGCAUCGCUCAUGGCGGUGGGCACCGGUGCGGGGUUCCGGAGUGCUCCAAAGCAGCCCGGGGAAGAUCGGGACUUUGCAUAAAACACGGCGGAGGGAAGAGGUGCAUGACGGAGGGCUGCACCAGGAGCGCCGAAGGGUAUCCUGGGGUGUGCAUCGCGCACGGAGGUGGUCGCCGGUGCCAGUACCCGGACUGCAGCAAGGGAGCACAGGGAGGCACCCUGUUCUGCAAGUCCCAUGGUGGGGGCAAACGGUGCGUAUCUGAAGGUUGCACCAAAGGGGCCGAGGGCAGCACGUUGCUAUGCAAAGGGCAUGGCGGCGGAAAGAGGUGCCUCUUCGAGGGAGACGCGGCGUGUCCUAAGAGUGUUCACGGCGGGACCAGCUUCUGCGUGGUGCAUGGAGGAGGCAAAAGGUGUGUGGCACCAGGGUGCACCAAGAGCGCUCGCGGUCGCACUGACUGCUGCGUGAGGCAUGGCGGUGGCAAGCGCUGCAAAUCAGAUGGGUGCGACAAGAGCGCGCAGGGGAGCACGGACUUGUGCAAGGCGCACGGCGGGGGCAAGCGGUGCGCCUGGAGCGCCGGCUGUGACAAGUUUGCCAGGGGGAGGAGCGGCCUGUGCUCUGCUCAUGGAAACCUGACGGCCUCGAAGCAGACCGGAAGCAUGAUCGGGCAUGGCCUCUUCAGCGGGAUCGUCUCUUCUUCCUCGACGCCGGGCAGCGGCAUGGACCGAGUGAUCUCCUCUUCUCUCCCUGGCGCCUCGUCAGAUUGCUGCGGCGAGUCGUUGGAACUCAUGCAGAGUGGCAGGCUCAUACCGCCACAGCUGCUGGUUCCUGGCUCCCUGCAGAAACCAUCGUCUUCGUUUAACCUGCCGGGCAAUGGCCAAGAAGGAGGUGGUGGUAGCCGGGACCAGAGCUUCGGGUUCGUCGUGCCGGAGGGAAGGGUGCACGGCGGAGGGCUCAUGUCGAUGCUCCGAGCAGGACACCUGGGAAGCAACAUCAACAUCCCGGAAUCCUGA
This 1890-nucleotide ribosomal RNA is filed under the name Triticum aestivum (bread wheat). RNAcentral's name for it is "partial small subunit ribosomal RNA". The record is from RNAcentral. Lineage: Eukaryota; Viridiplantae; Streptophyta; Magnoliopsida; Poales; Poaceae.